CCUACGGGAGGCAGCAGUGAGGAAUAUUGGUCAAUGGGCGCGAGCCUGAACCAGCCAAGUAGCGUGAAGGAUGACUGCCCUACGGGUUGUAAACUUCUUUUAUAAAGGAAUAAAGUGAGGCACGUGUGCCUUUUUGUAUGUACUUUAUGAAUAAGGAUCGGCUAACUCCGUGCCAGCAGCCGCGGUAAUACGGAGGAUCCGAGCGUUAUCCGGAUUUAUUGGGUUUAAAGGGAGCGUAGAUGGGUUGUUAAGGCAGGUGGUAAAGUUUGCGGGUCAAACGUAAAAUUGCAAUUGAUACUGGCAGUCUUGAGUACAGGUGAGGUAGGCGGAAUUCGUGGUGUAGCGGUGAAAUGCUUAGAUAUCACGAAGAACUCCGAUUGCGAAGGCAGCUUACUAAACUGCCACUGACAUUGAUGCUCGAAGGUGUGGGUAUCAAACAGGAUUAGAUACCCCAGUAGUC
Molecule: ribosomal RNA, 460 nt
Filed under: uncultured bacterium
Lineage: Bacteria
Description: partial 16S ribosomal RNA
Rfam family: Bacterial small subunit ribosomal RNA
Source: RNAcentral